Molecule: ribosomal RNA, 253 nt
Filed under: uncultured bacterium
Lineage: Bacteria
Description: partial 16S ribosomal RNA
Rfam family: Bacterial small subunit ribosomal RNA
Source: RNAcentral
UACGUAGGGGGCUAGCGUUGUCCGGAUUUAUUGGGCGUAAAGAGCGUGUAGGCGGCCAUGUAGGUCCGGUGUGAAAACUCGAGGCUUAACCUCGAGAUGUCAUCGGAAACCAUUUGGCUAGAGUCCGGAAGAGGAGAGUGGAAUUCCUGGUGUAGCGGUGAAAUGCGCAGAUAUCAGGAGGAACACCGGUGGCGAAGGCGGGUCUCUGGGCCGAUACUGACGCUGAGGAGCGAAAGCGUGGGGAGCAAACAGG